RNAcentral lists this ribosomal RNA (944 nucleotides) under uncultured organism. RNAcentral describes it as "bacterial SSU rRNA". It matches the Rfam family "Bacterial small subunit ribosomal RNA", at positions 469 to 1411 of the family's 1533-position model. The record is from RNAcentral.
UUGACGGUACCCUACUAGAAAGGAGCCGCUAACUUCGUGCCAGAAGCGUCGGUAAUACGGGGGCUCCAAGCGUUAUCCGGUGUUAUUGGGCGUAAAGAGUCGUGUAGGUGGUUGGGUAAGUUAUCUUUCAAAUAUCUUUGCUUAACAAAGAGGAGGGGGAUAAUACUGCUCGACUAGAAUUUUCUCAAGGGAGAUCGGAACUGAGGGAGGGGUAGUGAAAUGCGUUGAUACCCUCGGGAACACCAGUGGCGUAGGCGGAUCUCUGGGAGAAGAUUGACACUGAGACACGAAAGCUAGGGGAGCGAAGCAGAUUAGAGACCUGCGUAGUCCUAGCCGUAAACGCAUGCUUGCUAGCUGCAUGAAUCUACCUUCGGGUGGUAUCGUGUGGCGAAGGUAACCCGUUAAGCAAGCCGCCUGGAAAGUACGGCCGCAAGGCUGAAAUUCAAAGGAAUUGGCGGGGAGGCACACAACCAGUGGAACAUGUGGUUUAAUUCGAGACUAACCGAAGAACCUCACCAGGGUUUGACAUGUAGCUGCACGUCUUAAGAAAUUAAGACUCUCUUGAAGGUGCUACACAGGUGCUGCAUGGCUGUCGUCAGCUCGUUCCGUGAGGAGUGCCCUUAAGUGGGACAACGAGCGCAGCCCCUAUUACAUGUUAGAAAUGUCAUGUAAGACUGCCUUGCCAUUUGGCGGGGAGGAAGGAGGGGCAGACGUCAAGUCCGCAUGGUCCUUAUGCCCUGGGCUACACACAUGUUACAAUGAGUACGGCAAUGAGUCUGUCGCGAGCACGUAAGUGUAAGCUAAUCUCUUAAAUGUACUCUCAGUGGGGAUUGAGGUCUGCAACUCGACCUCAUGAACACGGAAUUGGUAGUAAUCGCGGGUCAGCUAUACCGCGGUGAUACGUUCUUGCCUCUUGCACACACCGCCCGUCAAACCAGCAAAGU